This 490-nucleotide ribosomal RNA is filed under the name uncultured bacterium. Its description in RNAcentral is "partial 16S ribosomal RNA". It matches the Rfam family "Bacterial small subunit ribosomal RNA", at positions 29 to 507 of the family's 1533-position model. The record is from RNAcentral.
AGUGAACGCUGGCGGCAGGCCUAACACAUGCAAGUCGAACGGCAGCACAAGAGAGCUUGCUCUCUGGGUGGCGAGUGGCGGACGGGUGAGGAAUGCAUCGGAAUCUGCCCAUUUGUGGGGGAUAACCUCGGGAAACCGGGACUAAUACCGCAUACGACCUACGGGUGAAAGCAGGGGAUCUUCGGACCUUGUGCAGAUGGAUGAGCCGAUGCCGGAUUAGCUAGUUGGAGGGGUAAAGGCCCACCAAGGCGACGAUCCGUAGCUGGUCUGAGAGGAUGAUCAGCCACACUGGGACUGAGACACGGCCCAGACUCCUACGGGAGGCAGCAGUGGGGAAUAUUGGACAAUGGGCGCAAGCCUGAUCCAGCCAUGCCGCGUGUGUGAAGAAGGCCUUCGGGUUGUAAAGCACUUUUGUUGGGAAAGAAAAGCAGCCGGUUAAUACCCGGUUGUCAUGACGGUACCCAAAGAAUAAGCACCGGCUAACUUCGUG